Molecule: long non-coding RNA, 205 nt
Organism: Balaenoptera ricei (Rice's whale)
Lineage: Eukaryota; Metazoa; Chordata; Mammalia; Artiodactyla; Balaenopteridae
Exons: 3
Source: RefSeq, a predicted model, not a curated record
GGAGGGGAAGACCCCAAAGAGCGAGCACGGCGCCACAGCCUGAUUUCCAGCGGGAGCACUGCGCCCCAGGUGGAGAAGCUGAAACACAGAGAAUUUCAGUAACACGGACAAGGUCACGCCAGUUACCAAAUGGCAGUUGAUGACUGACUUUUACAUUGGACUAUAGAAUAAUGGAAGAGUGAAGAGUGUGUAACUGUGGAAAUUU